GAUGAACGCUGGCGGCGUGCCUAAUACAUGCAAGUCGAGCGAACAGACGAGGAGCUUGCUCCUCUAACGUUAGCGGCGGACGGGUGAGUAACACGUGGAUAACCUACCUAUAAGACUAGGAUAACUUCGGGAAACCGGAGCUAAUACCGGAUAAUAUAUUGAACCGCAUGGUUCAAUAGUGAAAGACGGUUUUGCUGUCACUUAUAGAUGGAUCCGCGCCGCAUUAGCUAGUUGGUAAGGUAACAGCUUACCAAGGCAACGAUGCGUAGCCGACCUGAGAGGGUGAUCGGCCACACUGGAACUGAGACACGGUCCAGACUCCUACGGGAGGCAGCAGUAGGGAAUCUUCCGCAAUGGGCAAAAGCCUGACGGAGCAACGCCGCGUGAGUGAUGAAGGUCUUCGGAUCGUAAAACUCUGUUAUUAGGGAAGAACAAAUGUGUAAGUAACUAUGCACGUCUUGACGGUACCUAAUCAGAAAGCCACGGCUAACUACGUGCCAGCCGCCGCGGUAA
This 513-nucleotide ribosomal RNA is filed under the name uncultured bacterium. RNAcentral describes it as "partial 16S ribosomal RNA". It matches the Rfam family "Bacterial small subunit ribosomal RNA", at positions 28 to 523 of the family's 1533-position model. The record is from RNAcentral.